RNAcentral lists this ribosomal RNA (468 nucleotides) under uncultured bacterium. RNAcentral describes it as "partial 16S ribosomal RNA". It matches the Rfam family "Bacterial small subunit ribosomal RNA", at positions 28 to 507 of the family's 1533-position model. The record is from RNAcentral.
AACGAACGCUGGCGGCGUGCUUAACACAUGCAAGUCGAACGGAAAGGCCGUGCCUUUGUGGGGUGCUCGAGUGGCGAACGGGUGAGUAACCCGUGAGUACCCUGCACCUGACUUUGGGAUAACCUCAGGAAACUGGGGCUAAUACCGGCUAGGAGCUCCUGCUGCAUGAUGGGCGUUGGAUGGUUUCGGCGGUUGGGGAUGGACUCGCGGCCUAUCAGCUUGUUGGUGGGGUAGUGGCUUACCAAGGCUUGGACGGGUAGCCGGCCUGCGAGGGUGACCGGCCACACUGGGACUGAGAUACGGCCCAGACUCGUACCGGAGGCAGCAGUGGAGAAUAUUGCACAAGGGGCGGAAGCCUGAUGCAGCAACGCCGCGUGGGGGAAGACGGCCUGCGGGUUGUAUACCGCUGUCGCCUGUGACGAAGCGAGAGUGACGGUAACGGGAGAAGAAGCACCGGCUAACUACGUG